GCGGUACCGUCAAACUCGAGCUAUGUUAGAGCCCGAGCUUUCGUCCCGCAUGACAGGGUUUUACGACCCAAGGGCCUUCAUCACCCACGCGGCGUCGCUGGGUCAGGCUUUCGCCCAUUGCCCAAUAUUCCCC
Molecule: ribosomal RNA, 133 nt
Filed under: uncultured bacterium
Lineage: Bacteria
Description: partial 16S ribosomal RNA
Source: RNAcentral